AGCGAACGCUGGCGGCGUGCCUAACACAUGCAAGUCGAACGUGAACGGGGGCAACCCCUAGUAAAGUGGCGUACGGGUGAGUAACGCGUAGGCAAUCUACCCCAAAGUCUGGAAUAACCGGCCGAAAGGCUGGCUAAUACUGGAUAGAGCGACGGAAUCCGUAAUUGGGUUUUUCGGGAAAGGGAGGGAGCAAUCCCCCUUCGCUUUGGGUAGUGGGUCGUGCGUCCCACUCAGCUAGUUGGUAAGGUAACGGCUUACCAAGGCAAUGACGGGUAGCUGGUCUGAGAGGAUGAUCAGCCACACUGGAACUGAAACACGGUCCAGACUCCUACGGGA
RNAcentral lists this ribosomal RNA (336 nucleotides) under uncultured bacterium. Its description in RNAcentral is "bacterial SSU rRNA". It matches the Rfam family "Bacterial small subunit ribosomal RNA", at positions 29 to 346 of the family's 1533-position model. The record is from RNAcentral.